RNAcentral lists this ribosomal RNA (428 nucleotides) under uncultured Hyphomicrobiales bacterium. RNAcentral describes it as "bacterial SSU rRNA". It matches the Rfam family "Bacterial small subunit ribosomal RNA", at positions 29 to 505 of the family's 1533-position model. Lineage: Bacteria; Pseudomonadati; Pseudomonadota; Alphaproteobacteria; Hyphomicrobiales. The record is from RNAcentral.
AACGAACGCUGGCGGCAGGCCUAACACAUGCAAGUCGAACGCCCCUUCGGGGGAGUGGCAGACGGGUGAGUAACGCGUGGGAACCUACCUAGUGGUACGGAAUAACGCAGGGAAACUUGUGCUAAUACCGUAUAAGCCCUUCGGGGGAAAGUUUUUCGCCAUUAGAUGGGCCCGCGUCUGAUUAGCUAGUUGGUGAGGUAAAAGCUCACCAAGGCGACGAUCAGUAGCUGGUCUGAGAGGAUGAUCAGCCACACUGGGACUGAGACACGGCCCAGACUCCUACGGGAGGCAGCAGUGGGGAAUAUUGGACAAUGGGCGCAAGCCUGAUCCAGCCAUGCCGCGUGAGUGAAGAAGGCCCUAGGGUUGUAAAACUCUUUCGCCGGUGAAGAUAAUGACUGUAACCGGUAAAGAAGCCCCGGCUAACUCCG